RNA transcript from Raphanus sativus (radish), 1186 nucleotides. RefSeq lists it as uncharacterized. The record is from RefSeq and is a predicted model, not a curated record. NCBI's taxonomy places the organism in Eukaryota, Viridiplantae, Streptophyta, Magnoliopsida, Brassicales, Brassicaceae. The transcript is spliced from 4 exons.
GAUUCCCAUCGUUAUUUCCGCUUUUUUUUUGUUUGUAUUCUCUGCGAAUUCUUAUCGUCAUCAGUGAGCUUAAUUACUUAGCCUGUAAUGAAAUCGAGAUUCGAUUUUCGAUUUUGCUCGUCAAGUGACUACUGAAACAAUCUCUGAGUCUUCAUCUUUUUGGUCCAAGUUAUAAACUUUGCUUUGCCCGCGAUUUGAUGAUUAUGUAUUUGCGAGAAAGUGAGAAUGAGAAGACAGGGAAACUUUGCGGACUCGCCUGCAAGUGGAUAUGGAUCCGGACAGAUACAGAAUGCACAUUCUGAUUUCCAAGGUCAGCUAGAGGCGUUCACGCCUGAGAGGGACCAACCACCGCAAACAGAGGGUCAAUGGAGAUGGGAAAGAGAUGGUCCCCGAAUAUGUCAAGGCCUUUGUCAACUGCUGUUUACAAUGAAAGUCAAGGCGUGGAUUCGUCAAGGACAUAUUACCGCGGCCAAAUGGAUCCAAAAUCAGGAAUGGAGACACAAAGCAGCGGUCCAAGAUCUCAACCUCAGCACCACGAGAACCCGAAGCCUGGUUAUGAGAAUAGCCGUGGGGUGGUACAGACCUUUGAAGGCAUUGAACAGAAGUUCAUGGAUGAUAUAACAAGACUAGCAAAAGAUCAAAUGGGAGCAGAGGAUGCAGAGAUUGCCAGACAUCGAGAGAAAAUAAACACCAUUAAUGCCCGGUACGAAGAACAGUUAGCUGCACUGCGAUCACGCCACGCAGGUAAAAGAGAAGAGAUCAUGAGGAAAGAAUCGCAAGCUAGGCAGCAACAAUACAAACAGCAAACACCUGGGAUGAUGGAUCAGUACCAUCCAAACGCGGCCAAUCUAAGACAACCUGGUCAUCCCCAGGGUUACAUUGGGAAUGCUCAAGAUCCAGCGGAUGCACCAUCCAGAGCCUAUGGAUCAGACCGGUUUGAAGCAUAUGGAGAGAGACCUAGGUUUCAAGGGGGAGACAGGGAUCAUGGAUUCGAGUCUAGGGGUCAGUACCCUGGUGGGACAGUCUCACGGUUCUACUGAUCUAAUAUUUAGAUUAACAAAUCGUGUUACUUUGUUUUUUUUUUUGUUUUUGGCCUAUAGAUCAUCAGUUAAGCUUUCCUGACUUUGAAAUUGAAUACAAUGGACUUGUUCUUAUAAAUAUGCGUCAUAAUUGUCUUUUAAACCUU